This 4157-nucleotide long non-coding RNA is filed under the name Brachypodium distachyon (stiff brome). RNAcentral describes it as "long non-coding RNA (BDIS_LNC002856)". The record is from RNAcentral. Lineage: Eukaryota; Viridiplantae; Streptophyta; Magnoliopsida; Poales; Poaceae.
AGAGUACUAUGUGUAUGUCUGUCAACUUGAAACACUGCACUCUCACAGUUUUACCUAAUUUGUUGUGUUGCGGACAGAAAAUUGAGCAAGUCUCCGUUUUCAAUAACAACAAAAAUGAAUGAAUUAAUGCAUAAACGUUGGAAAUAUACCUGGCAAACAUGCCAGACUAGCCAUUCUCUCAUUUCAAGUAAAUGCUCUACGUCUAGUCUUCUACAUGCAAAAGUUGAUGAUAUUUAUGCACACUUCAUAAAUUAACAGGAUGUUCAGAAUUCUUGGCCACAAUGAAGUUUGGGUCUUAGAUGGAGGUUUACCUCAGUGGCAAGCUUCUGGAUACAAUCUUGGAAGUAACUGCCCUGAAGAUGCAAUUCUGAAGUCUAAAGCUGCCAAUACUGCUGUUGAAACUACUUACAAUGGUGAAUUGGUGAGAUAGCUUUCAAGAUGGUCUGACUAUCUUACUCCCUUUUUUUUCUUAGUGAGUAAUCAUGGUUCCAUUCUUCUCAGGAAAGUGCUGCCACAUUUCAGACGGAAUUUCAACCUCAGCUACUCUGGACACUAGAAAAGGCUAGCUCUCCAUUAUAUCUGAACACUUAAAAUUUCUUCAUUUUACCUGAAAACUUUCUUGUGUUUAUAUAGAUACGGGUAAAUGAUAAAUCUGAUCAUGAAUUGCUCCUUCAGGGUUAAUUGGGAUUAUUCCUAUCUUAUUAUCUUUCUUUCGACCUUUUUGGAGAAAAUCCUAGCUUUAGUAAAAUAAAAAAUUCAAAGAUUUAUUGACAUAAACACUAAUAUCUUGAAGAUCCACAUUUGUGUUGAGCUGCUUUGUUCAUGUAACAGGUCAAACACAAUGUAGCUGCGCAGACUCACCAAGUAGUUGAUGCCCGAUCAAGGGGCAGGUAACAUCUCCUAAUUUUGACUCUUUGAAUAUUACUCUGGUUAGAAGAGACGAAUGUAGAAGCUCUGAUCAUAAUUAAAUGUAGCAUGAUUACUCUUCUUGCAACAAAUUAGUGGAUCACGAUUUCCUUCAAAAAGAAAAGGUUGGGCAAUAGUGUUUUUAUUUCAAACAUAUACGAUGAUUUAGCUCACUAUCUAGAUUAAUGGUUAUUGUUUUAAACAUGAAUCUGUAUUGUCUUGGUUUUUGCCUUUUCUCUAUCGCCUAUUUUUAAAACUUAAUGUAACUGAUACAUGCAUUGUGUGACAACUUGUGCCAUUUGUUAUUGUUGAUCUUCCCCUAAAGUUACCUUCUUAUUGUUGUGAUGGAAAGCACUGAAAUUUCAUAAUCAGAUUUGAUGGCAUAGAACCAGAACCAAGGAAAGGAGUAAGAAGUGGGCAUAUACCUGGAACUAAAAAUGUUCCAUUCCCUGAGGUGGGUAUUAGUGCAAACUGCAAAUAUGCAAUAUAGUGCAUGAUACUUGGACCGUUGGACGACAAUAAAUAGCUAAUGAUACAUUGUCGGUCUUGCAGAUGUUUGAUGGUGCACCAAAGCUUCUCCCUGCAGAUGAACUAUCUAAAAAGUUUGAGCAAGCAGGUCUGAAUUAUGUUUCAUCUCACUGUUCUAGUCUGAAAUUCCUAGCACACCCAUGUCCUUUUUUACCAUGGAACAACCGAAGUAAACGACUUUCCCAAUUUUAUACAAUACCGGAAGCUGAACAACAUUGAUUUAUACUUCAACCAUGUAGAUUUUCUGAUCAAAUAAUUAAAACUUAUUCAGGAAUAUCAUCCGUACAUCGUGUAUGAAAGUUUCACCACACAAUAGCAAUAAUAGCACCCAGUUUGAUGUUUCUUCAGGAAUUUCACUUGAUCACCCGAUUGUCGUCACAUGUGCAUCUGGCGUAACUGCCUGCAUAGUUGCUCUGGUCUGGAAACCUUUGCCCGCUCUUCUCUAAUGGUGCCAUUGACUCCACAAAUCAGGCUCUAACAAUAUCUGUUUACAGGGGCUCUAUAGAGUUGGGAAGCAUGAUAUUCCAGUUUACGAUGGAUCUUGGACAGAAUGGGAAGCACAGCCAGAUAUUGAUUACCCAAAAGUUACUUCCACUGGCUCUUGAAUCAAGAAUUCUGAAGCAGGUUCAGUUUAGAUUGUCGGCAUGAUGUCUCUGGCAAGCUUUGCACUUGAAUCAAGGCGAAGGUUAUAGGGGAAAGAAAUACCCACUGUACUAUGGCCAUGCAAAUGGGGCACUUUUGCCACACAAAAACGUUAGACCAUAUCUUCAGCAUCAAACUCAUGUCUGAAGCUGUACUUAAAGUUACUAAUGAAAAAUUCUUGGCUCGAAACAAGAUUGAUCGUUUUUUAUUUAUUUUUUUGCUUUGGAGUUGCACCUGUGUUGAUUAUCAUGCUUAAAUUCUUACAACUGCAGCUCAUUACUACUCUAAUUUACUACUCCAAUCCUUGCGCCCGAACCUCGAUUAAAAAAAAUUCCUUCCGCCAGAACGGCAAGUAUUUCCUUUUAUUUUUGUCGCCGCGCUGACACCCUUUGUUGGCUGCGGCUGCCUCACGGGUCCAAAUCGACUCAUCUUCUCCGGCAGCGGCGGCGGCCUUCCUCUCUGCCCUUCCGCUUCCCUCUUGGAGGCCCCCUGCCCGGCUCCCCACCGCACCCACCUGGAGGGCAGCACGGCGGGCCGAUGGCGCAGGACGAUCCAGUUGUUUCCGCUCAGUGGCUGCAGCAGCACCUAGGGCAGCCUGACAUCAAGGUGAAGAAUCUCUCAACUACUUCGCGUUUCCAUCUCCAGUUCCGAAAUGGAUUAUUCGCCUGCACCGUAGAAAGAUGAUACGGAAUACUAACCUGUUCUUAUCAUCCAGUCAAGUCAAGGGGUUGGCGUGUGGAUUUUUAUUUUACUGAUUAUUAUUAACAGAAAGAAGCAACUGGGAUAAUCGAUGUGAUUUUGCUCCAUUCAUGCCGUGUAUCUUCGCUGUGCACACAAGACUUCAGAGAUUGGAGAACGCUAUGUUUUGUUUCUUCUCUCUUAUGUUUGACUACUCCGUUUCAGGUACUGGACGCCUCCUGGUAUAUGCCACAAGAGAGCAGGGACCCAUGGCAAGAGUACAAGGUUUCUGGAUUAGUUCUACUCUGUUUUGUUUCCCCCUUUUUUUUCUGUGGCAAUGUCUUCCCCAGCUCAUGUAUUCUGAUAUGCUCAGGUGGCCCAUAUUCCUGGUGCAUUGUUCUUCGACAUCGAUGGCAUUGUUGAUCGGACGACUGACGUGAGAAAUGUUUCCAGAUAUUUAUUCCUUUCCUCUUUACGUGAUCGAUUGACAUGAGAAAAUAGGAAGCAAGGAUUUCUUGGUGCUUUUGGCGGUUGACAUAAUACAGAGCCUCCCUCUCUUCUGUCUUUUAAGGUAUUCCUGCCUAUGAAUAUAGAUAUAUGACUUGUUUUUAUUGGAUGCAAUUGUUUCAGUUGCCACACAUGCUGCCAUCAGAGGAGGCCUUUGCUGCAGCAGUUUCUGCACUUGGUAUCACAAACCAUGAUAAGGUCAUUGUUUAUGAUGGCAAGGGCUUCUUCAGCGCGCCUCGUGUUUGGUGGUAAGCAGAACGCUGGAUUCAGUUUAACAAAAUGAUGAGAUUGAAUGCUGCUAAUGCACAAAGAAAGCUAAGCUGUCAAAUUGUAAGGCGUUCAAAGUUCAUGGUAUUAUAUUUUUCUUAUUUUAUUUAGUGCAUGUGAAGGUACCUCUUUACUCUUUUGUAGCAUUUCACAUCUAUACAAGUUGAUAGAGUUAAUUACUUAUCAACCCAAUGUCUUAAUGAUUGUUCGUGGCUUACUUCAAGCACCAAAGAUUUGAUCUUGAGACAAAACGCACGAAUGGAUAAUGCGUGUCUGUGUCUCGAUUUAAAACACUACACUGUCAUGGUUUUAUCCAUUUAUUUGUGUUGCCAGACAGCAAGUUGAAUCGGUCACCAUUUCCAUAACAACAAAAAAUGAAUGAAUUAAUAACCCCAGACAUCACACUUUGGAAGUAUAUCUGGCAAACAUGCCAGACUAGUAAACUGCUCUACCUCUACAUGCAAAAGAUGGUGAUAUUUAUUCAUACUUCAUAAAUUAACAGGAUGUUCAGAGUACUUGGCCACAAUGAAGUUUGGGUCUUAGAUGGAGGUUUACCUCAGUGGCGAGCUUCUGGAUACAAUCUUGGAAGCAACUGCCCUGAUGAUACAAUUCUGAAGUCCAAAGCUGCC